AUUGAAGCAAGCUGUCCCUGAUGGUCGUCAUCUACCUGCCUGGAGUCAUCCGCGGCAUUUAGCCGC
This 66-nucleotide unclassified non-coding RNA is filed under the name synthetic construct. Its description in RNAcentral is "RNA (66-MER) from synthetic construct (PDB 8ANE, chain R)". The record is from RNAcentral.